This 215-nucleotide long non-coding RNA is filed under the name Lathyrus oleraceus (garden pea). RNAcentral's name for it is "Pisum sativum (pea) long non-coding RNA (PSAT_LNC002338)". Lineage: Eukaryota; Viridiplantae; Streptophyta; Magnoliopsida; Fabales; Fabaceae. The record is from RNAcentral.
UUUAAGAAAAGGUUUAUGGUUUAGAGGAAACAACACGGUUAAAGUUUUAGGUUUGAAAUUUAGAGUUUGUGGCGAAAUUGUCAGGGUUUAGGAAAAAUCAGGGUAGUUAGUUAUGAAAAAAAAUGUGCAGAUCUAAAUAUAUGUAUAUAAAAAAAAAAAUGAAUUAAAAAAAAAACGGCGUUGCUAGCGCAAAAUUGCGAUCAUCGCAACUGGAU